This 525-nucleotide long non-coding RNA is filed under the name Homo sapiens (human). Its description in RNAcentral is "non-protein coding TRG-AS1:17". Lineage: Eukaryota; Metazoa; Chordata; Mammalia; Primates; Hominidae. The record is from RNAcentral.
CUUUUCACAUCUGCAAGGACACUUGGAGGCAACUGCCCAAGGCCACUCUGAGGAGGGUUGAAUGUUCUUUAUUAAAAGGACUGAGGAUCAUGUGUGUUGGUGGGCCUUGGACUCUGCUCUAAGACUCAUGGAGGCAACCACUCAAGGUCACUCUGAGAAGGGUUGAACGUGCUUUAUUAAAAGGACUGAGGAUCAUGUGUGUUGGUGUGUCCCGGAGUCUGCUCUAAGUAUCAUACUUCCCUGGGCUGAUUCCUGAUUCCAACACAACGCUGGAGGUGUAGGAGUCAUAGUACAGAAGACGCUGUGGGGCCUUCCCCUCCUGGUGUAGGUACCAGUGGAUGUAGCCGGUACUUCCUUCAGCAAGAUCACAAGUGAUUUCAGCAGAUGACCCAGUCUGCCUGAUGACUGACUUCGUUCUCCCUUCCAAGUUGGAAGAUUUCUGACUGGCUGCAAUGGGAACAACACAAAAUAUAAUGAGGAAUUCCUUAGUAUGGCAAUCCUUGCAAAAGAAGAAAAUAAAGAAAA